UACAGGGGGGGCAAGCGUUGUUCGGAAUUACUGGGCGUAAAGGGUUCGUAGGUGGCCACUUAAGUCAGACGUGAAAUCCCUCAGCUUAACUGGGGAACUGCGUCUGAUACUGAGUGGCUUGAGUGCAGGAGAGGAAUGCGGAAUUCCGGGUGUAGCGGUGAAAUGCGUAGAUAUCUGGAGGAACACCGGUGGCGAAGGCGGCAUUCUGGACUGUAACUGACACUGAGGAACGAAAGCGUGGGGAGCAAACAGG
RNAcentral lists this ribosomal RNA (253 nucleotides) under uncultured bacterium. Its description in RNAcentral is "partial 16S ribosomal RNA". It matches the Rfam family "Bacterial small subunit ribosomal RNA", at positions 524 to 776 of the family's 1533-position model. The record is from RNAcentral.